Long non-coding RNA from Anolis carolinensis (green anole), 2073 nucleotides. RefSeq lists it as uncharacterized. Lineage: Eukaryota; Metazoa; Chordata; Lepidosauria; Squamata; Anolidae. The transcript has 2 exons. The record is from RefSeq and is a predicted model, not a curated record.
CAGCACGCGAGGAUUGUGUGUGCGUAGAUAUCCCUCUCUCCGUCUUUCCAAACAGAGACUGCACUUCCGGUGGACGUGGAAGCCCAGGGCGCGAAGAUUACUGCAGAUGCAGACUGCAGCCAGGAAAUCAGAAGACAUUUACUUCUUCGGAGGAGAGCAAUGGCCAACCUUGACAAAAUAGUGAAAAGCAGAGACAUCACAUUGGCAACAAAGGUCCGCAUAGUGAAAGCAAUGGUAUUCCCCAUAGUAACCUAUGGAUGCGAGAGCUGGACCAUAAAGAAGGCUGAGCGAAGGAAGAUAGGCGCUUUUGAACUCUGGUGCUGGAGGAAAAUCCUGAGAGUGCCUUGGACCGCAAGAAGAUCCAACCAGUCCAUCCUCCAGGAAAUAAUGCCCGGCUGCUCACUGGAGGGAAGGAUAUUAGAGGCAAAGCUGAAGUAUUUUGGCCACAUCAUGAGGAGACAGGAAAGCUUGGGAAAGAUCACGAUGCUGGGGAAAAUGUAAGGAAAAAGGAGGAGAGGCUGACCAAGGGCAAGAUGGAUGGACGGUAUCCUUGAAGUAACUGGGUUGACAUUGAAGGAACUGGGGGCGGUGACGGCCGACAGGGAGCUCUGGCGUGUACUGGUCCAUGCGGUCACGAAGAGUCAGAGACGACUAAACGACUGAGCAGCAGCAGUGUUCCAUAGUUUGGAAUUUUUCCCCAAAUUUUGGAUUAACAGCAUUAUGUACUUGAAGAGAUGGGACCAAAACAAGAAAUGGUACUGUUUCAUUACCCGGGGAAGUGAGGAGGGGGAAUAACCAGCAAAAAUAGGGAAAAUUGGUUUUCUCUUUCAACUCUUAUUUAUUUACUACAUUUAUAUGCCGCCCUUCUCACCCCAAAGGGGACUCAGAGCGGCUUGCAUAUUACAUUCACAUACAAUACAUUAUAUUAUUAGCAUAGUACAAUACUAGCAUUAAAUUACUAUAUUGUACUAUAUCAUUAGGAGCCCCGGUGGCGAAGUGUGUUAAAGCACUGAGCUGCUGAACUUGCAGACCGAAAGGUCACAGGUUCAAUUCCCGGGAGUGGCAUGAGCGACCGCUGUUAGCUCCAGCUUCUGCCAAUUUAGCAUUCCGAAAACAUGCAAAUGUGAGUAGAUCAAUAGGUAACGCUCCAGUGGGAAGGUAACGGUGCUCCAUGCAGUCAUGCCGGCCACAUAACCUUGGAGGUAUCUACGGAAACGCCAGCCCUUUGGCUUAGAAAUGGAGAUGAGCACCACCCCCCAGAGUCAGUCACGACUAGACUUAAUGUCAGGGGGAAAAUUUUACCUUUAUCUUUACUUGCUGACUGUAAUGAUGGGAGCUGGAAGUGCCAGAUCUCUUCUGUCUUAUUGUUUACCAGUAUACUACACUACACAUGGGUGCAGUCAUGAAGGCAAUAGUACAUACAAAUCUUAAAGAGUUGUAACAGUUUGUUUUGGGCUUAGUUCUACUGCAUACCUUUCAAACUAAUUUGUGUAUGAAUAGGCAAAUGUUUAUUUUAAUUAGUGGGACUCCCAAGAACCAGGAAAAAAGUGAGACAAAAUAGACUUAUGUCUAUACUGUAUGCAGUCAAUCUUUUUGAAAUUACAGUUCCUCAUAAGAGCUUUCUUGCAGCUGUAGAAUGUACUGUAAGAUUUGUAUCAUCAAUUCCUUCAGACCUUUAUUGGUACUCAAGAGGUGAAAAUAGCCUGUAGAUUUUUAGUGUACAGAUAGUAUGAUGUGAAUGCGUUCCAAACACUGCUUACUCAGUGUCGUGCUUCAUAUUCUUUGAAUGUUUAAAUCCUCGUUCCUUUUAUCAAGAGUAAGGUAAACCUUAAACACCCGAAUGUUCUUACAUUAGUUUAGCCAAAACUGACAUUCUAAUUUCCAUGUAUCUUGUUCCUUUUGAAAUGUUAAUACCUUUUACCACAUACUGAAUUAAUAUUUUUACAUACUUCAGAUUUUUCCCCUUGUUCUUCCUGCGUGUUUUUGAAUUGAUAAAACAACUACAGAGCAAAAUGUUUUUUAACAUAUUUGUUUAUUGAUUUAUUUUUUUAAAUAAACUUUUAAAUAUUUUGA